GUCCUUGCCGUAAACGAUGUGGAUUAGGUAUCAGGGGUGUCGAUCCCCAUGGCGCCGAAGCUAACGCAUUAAAUCCACCACCUGGGGAGUACGGUCGCAAGACUGAAACUCAAAGAAAUUGACGGGGACCCGCACAAGCGGUGGAGCAUGUGGUUUAAUUCGAGGCUACGCGAAGAACCUUACCCAGGCUUGACAUGUAGUUGACCACGCAUGAAAGUGCGUCUUCUCGCAAGAGACAAUUACACAAGUGCUGCAUGGCUGUCGU
This 265-nucleotide ribosomal RNA is filed under the name uncultured bacterium. RNAcentral describes it as "partial 16S ribosomal RNA". It matches the Rfam family "Bacterial small subunit ribosomal RNA", at positions 793 to 1055 of the family's 1533-position model. The record is from RNAcentral.